AUGGAUUGUCACCACGCUUUCUCACUGGGGAGAGAACAGAGAUUGCUGGUGAGACAGCAGCCACUGCUCCCAGGCCCGAGAACAGGGGCAGCACCAAAGCUGGUCAGUGUUUCCUCCUUACAGUUGUUGGACUGUCUGCCCCAUGAGGGAACAAAAGCUCCAUCGACGAGCGUGGAUCCAGAAGCCCAGGAAAUCAGGCUGGAGCCUUCCUUACUUCUGCUGUCUGCAGUGACCACUCUGGAUUUGGGAUCCAGCCUCCCUGAGACUGUAAACAUCUGGGUGAGAGCCAGCCGUGGCUGAGCCCGUAAUUACUGGCUGCAGCCUCCGUACGGCGGCACAGAGGAG
RNAcentral lists this long non-coding RNA (345 nucleotides) under Pan paniscus (pygmy chimpanzee). RNAcentral's name for it is "lncRNA (ENSPPAG00000044889.1)". Lineage: Eukaryota; Metazoa; Chordata; Mammalia; Primates; Hominidae. The record is from RNAcentral.